Molecule: ribosomal RNA, 889 nt
Filed under: Bacillus cereus
Lineage: Bacteria; Bacillati; Bacillota; Bacilli; Caryophanales; Bacillaceae
Description: partial 16S ribosomal RNA
Rfam family: Bacterial small subunit ribosomal RNA
Source: RNAcentral
UNUCUGCAGUCGAGCGAAUGGAUUAAGAGCUUGCUCUUAUGAAGUUAGCGGCGGACGGGUGAGUAACACGUGGGUAACCUGCCCAUAAGACUGGGAUAACUCCGGGAAACCGGGGCUAAUACCGGAUAACAUUUUGAACCGCAUGGUUCGAAAUUGAAAGGCGGCUUCGGCUGUCACUUAUGGAUGGACCCGCGUCGCAUUAGCUAGUUGGUGAGGUAACGGCUCACCAAGGCAACGAUGCGUAGCCGACCUGAGAGGGUGAUCGGCCACACUGGGACUGAGACACGGCCCAGACUCCUACGGGAGGCAGCAGUAGGGAAUCUUCCGCAAUGGACGAAAGUCUGACGGAGCAACGCCGCGUGAGUGAUGAAGGCUUUCGGGUCGUAAAACUCUGUUGUUAGGGAAGAACAAGUGCUAGUUGAAUAAGCUGGCACCUUGACGGUACCUAACCAGAAAGCCACGGCUAACUACGUGCCAGCAGCCGCGGUAAUACGUAGGUGGCAAGCGUUAUCCGGAAUUAUUGGGCGUAAAGCGCGCGCAGGUGGUUUCUUAAGUCUGAUGUGAAAGCCCNCGGCUCACCGUGGANGGUCAUUGGAAACUGGGANACUUGAGUGCAAAAAAGAAAGUGGAUUNCCUGUGUAGCGGUGAAAUGCGUAAANAUUUGGAGNACCCCGUGGCAANGCACUUUCUGNCUGUACUGACCUGAGGCNNAAAGNUGGGAACAAAAAGAUNAAAUNCCUGGUAGCCNCCCUAACNAAANNGUAANGUUAANGGUUCCCCUUUAUGCNAANUACNNUUAACCNCCCNGGGAANCGCCCAGUUAACNAAAAAUNACGGGCCCCCANCGNGACUUGNUUUUNAAAACCAAACUUCGGNUGAUCUUNAACUA